AUUGAACGCUGGCGGCAGGCCUAACACAUGCAAGUCGAACGAGUGGCGGACGGGUGAGUAAUGUCUGGGAAACUGCCCGAUGGAGGGGGAUAACUACUGGAAACGGUAGCUAAUACCGCGUACCAUAGGAUGUGCCCAGAUGGGAUUAGCUUGUAGGUGAGGUAACGGCUCACCUAGGCGACGAUCCCUAGCUGGUCUGAGAGGAUGACCAGCCACACGGGAACUGAGACACGGUCCAGAUCCCUACGGGAGGCAUCAGUGGGGAAUAUUGCACAAUGGGCGCAAGCCUGAUGCAGCCAUGCCGCGUGUAUGAAGAAGGCCGUCUGGUUGUAAAGUACUUUCAGCGGGGAGGCGUUACCCGCAGAAGAAGCACCGGCUAACUCCGUGCCAGCAGCCUCGGUAAUAC
This 406-nucleotide ribosomal RNA is filed under the name uncultured bacterium. Its description in RNAcentral is "partial 16S ribosomal RNA". It matches the Rfam family "Bacterial small subunit ribosomal RNA", at positions 30 to 526 of the family's 1533-position model. The record is from RNAcentral.